GAUGAACGCUAGCGGCAGGCCUAACACAUGCAAGUCGAGGGAGAAGCCCUUUCGGGGGCAGAAACCGGCGCACGGGUGCGUAACGCGUAUGCAACCUACCUAUCACAGGGGGAUAGCCCGAAGAAAUUUGGAUUAAUACCCCAUAAUAUUAUUGGAUGGCAUCAUUUGAUAAUUAAAACUGCGGUGGUGAAAGAUGGGCAUGCGUCCUAUUAGCUAGUUGGAGUGGUAACGGCACCCCAAGGCUACGAUAGGUAGGGGUCCUGAGAGGGAGAUCCCCCACACUGGUACUGAGACAGGGACCAGACUCCUACGGGAGGCAGCAGUGAGGAAUAUUGGUCAAUGGUCGGAAGACUGAACCAGCCAUGCCGCGUGCAGGAAGAAUGCCUUAUGGGUAGUAAACUGCUUUUAUAUGGGAAGAAUAAGGUGUACGUGUACAUUGAUGACGGUACCAGAUGAAUAAGCAUCGGCUAACUCCGUG
This 478-nucleotide ribosomal RNA is filed under the name uncultured bacterium. Its description in RNAcentral is "partial 16S ribosomal RNA". It matches the Rfam family "Bacterial small subunit ribosomal RNA", at positions 28 to 507 of the family's 1533-position model. The record is from RNAcentral.